UAGGAAGUAGUGUAGAGGAAGCACUGAGGGUUUUGAUUCCUCUAGGUGGGGUUCGAGCCCCCUCUUUCUAA
This 71-nucleotide transfer RNA is filed under the name Callopanchax toddi. RNAcentral describes it as "tRNA-Gln". It matches the Rfam family "tRNA". From Rfam's summary of the family: Transfer RNA (tRNA) molecules are approximately 80 nucleotides in length. Their secondary structure includes four short double-helical elements and three loops (D, anti-codon, and T loops). Lineage: Eukaryota; Metazoa; Chordata; Actinopteri; Cyprinodontiformes; Nothobranchiidae. The record is from RNAcentral.